AAUUUGACUCAAAUCUGUCAACAUUAUUGUUUGUGUGCGUAGAUUUUUCAGUAUUUUGAUAUUCUGUGUUGAAUUGUGUUAAGAAACGAACUAAAACGGACAUAGAAAAUGAAAAGGACUUUUUUUCGACACCACCAGAAAUUGGAGAAGCUGCUAAAGUUGCCUCACUAAAUGUAUUGCCGUAAUGUAAUGUAACAAAAUUUUCCAACAAAAAAAACUUCAACAAAAAUUUGUAUAAUGACUAUUAUUCUCUCGAUGAUUUAGGCCUAUUUAUUUCAUGAAUAAACAGUUCGAUAGUGUAAAUUGCGAAAUUAUCACAGAAAAGUUCCAAAAUGUGAGAAAUGAAUUUGAGAUUCAAAUUUUUUAUUUGGUUCAUAACAAAGCUACAGCUUUAGAACAUGUCACAAAAUACCAUCAAAUUAACAUAUGCCAAAAGUAAAAUAUAAAAUCUUCAGAAGAUACAGUGCAAUAAAAAUAAUAAUACAGUACAUACAUACAAUCGUGAAAGGCAUCUUUGCUCUAUGGUCCCGGGAGUGAAUGGAAAAAGUCAUUAAUACCAUAUAGGGGAUUUUCCUGAUGAUGAUGGCAAAUUCUUUUUGUGGCAUUUAUCGGCCACCUGUAUUUGAGGAAUUCGUCGUUGACCACCCUUGUAUCGUUUUCAUCCAAAGACAAUAUCGCGAAUGCACCAACUUUUUGUUCCAUGGAAAAAUCACGAAACCGGAAGUUUAAUACAAAUUUAAAAUACUUUCAAAGUCAUUGAAUUGUUAUAGAUAUUACUUACUUUUUGUAUAUUAAUGUUUAAUAAAAUUUAUUUUGUCUAA
Molecule: long non-coding RNA, 821 nt
Organism: Leptinotarsa decemlineata (Colorado potato beetle)
Lineage: Eukaryota; Metazoa; Arthropoda; Insecta; Coleoptera; Chrysomelidae
Source: RefSeq, a predicted model, not a curated record